Molecule: ribosomal RNA, 1489 nt
Filed under: Niallia circulans
Lineage: Bacteria; Bacillati; Bacillota; Bacilli; Caryophanales; Bacillaceae
Description: bacterial SSU rRNA
Rfam family: Bacterial small subunit ribosomal RNA
Source: RNAcentral
GACGAACGCUGGCGGCGUGCCUAAUACAUGCAAGUCGAGCGGACUUUAAAAGCUUGCUUUUAAAGUUAGCGGCGGACGGGUGAGUAACACGUGGGCAACCUGCCUGUAAGACUGGGAUAACUUCGGGAAACCGGAGCUAAUACCGGAUAAUCCUUUUCCUCUCAUGAGGAAAAGCUGAAAGACGGUUUACGCUGUCACUUACAGAUGGGCCCGCGGCGCAUUAGCUAGUUGGUGAGGUAACGGCUCACCAAGGCGACGAUGCGUAGCCGACCUGAGAGGGUGAUCGGCCACACUGGGACUGAGACACGGCCCAGACUCCUACGGGAGGCAGCUGUAGGGAAUCUUCCGCAAUGGACGAAAGUCUGACGGAGCAACGCCGCGUGAGUCGACUGAACGGUUUUCCGGAUUCGUAAAACUCUGGUGUUAGGGAAGAACAAGUACAAGAGUAAACUGCUUGUACCUUGACGGUACCUAACCAGAAAGCCACGGCUAACUACGUGCCAGCAGCCGCGGUAAUACGUAGGUGGCAAGCGUUGUCCGGGAAUUUAUUGGGCGUAAAGCGCGCGCAGGGCGGUCCUUUAAGUCUGAUGUGAAAGCACCACGGCCUCAACCGUGGAGGGUCAUUGGAAACUGGGGGACUUGAGUGCAGAAGAGAAGAGUGGAAUUCCACGUGUAGCGGUGAAAUGCGUAGAGAUGUGGAGGAACACCAGUGGCGAAGGCGACUCUUUGGUCUGUAACUGACGCUGAGGCGCGAAAGCGUGGGGAGCAAACAGGAUUAGAUACCCUGGUAGUCCACGCCGUAAACGAUGAGUGCUAAGUGUUAGAGGGUUUCCGCCCUUUAGUGCUGCAGCAAACGCAUUAAGCACUCCGCCUGGGGAGUACGGCCGCAAGGCUGAAACUCAAAGGAAUUGACGGGGGCCCGCACAAGCGGUGGGAGCAUGUGGUUUAAUUCGAAGCAACGCGAAGAACCUUACCAGGUCUUGACAUCCUCUGACACUCCUAGAGAAUAGAACGUUCCCCUUCGGGGGACAGAGUGAAAGGUGGUGCAUGGUGGUCGUUCAGCUCGUGUCGUGAGAUGUUGGGUUAAGUCCCGCAACGAGCGCCAACCCCUUGGAAUCCUUAGUUGCCAGCAUUCAGUUGGGCACUCUAAGGUGACUGCCGGUGACAAACCGGAGGAAGGUGGGGAUGACGUCAAAUCAUCAUGCCCCUUAUGACCUGGGCUACACACGUGCUACAAUGGAUGGUACAAAGGGCAGCAAAACCGCGAGGUCGAGCAAAUCCCAUAAAACCAUUCUCAGUUCGGAUUGUAGGCUGCAACUCGCCUACAUGAAGCUGGAAUCGCUAGUAAUCGCGGAUCAGCAUGCCGCGGUGAAUACGUUCCCGGGCCUUGUACACACCGCCCGUCACACCACGAGAGUUUGUAACACCCGAAGUCGGUGUGGUAACCUUUUGGAGCCAGCCGCCUAAGGUGGGAUAGAUGAUUGGGGUG